AUUGAACGCUGGCGGCAGGCCUAACACAUGCAAGUCGAACGGUAACAGGAAGCAGCUUGCUGCUUCGCUGACGAGUGGCGGACGGGUGAGUAAUGUCUGGGAAGCUGCCUGAUGGAGGGGGAUAACUACUGGAAACGAUAGCUAAUACCGCAUAAUGUCGCAAGACCAAAGAGGGGGACCUUCGGGCCUCUUGCCAUCGGAUGUGCCCAGAUGGGAUUAGCUUGUUGGUGGGGUAACGGCUCACCAAGGCGACGAUCCCUAGCUGGUCUGAGAGGAUGACCAGCCACACUGGAACUGAGACACGGUCCAGACUCCUACGGGAGGCAGCAGUGGGGAAUAUUGCACAAUGGGCGCAAGCCUGAUGCAGCCAUGCCGCGUGUAUGAAGAAGGCCUUCGGGUUGUAAAGUACUUUCAGCGGGGAGGAAGGGAGUAAAGUUAAUACCUUUGCUCAUUGACGUUACCCGCAGAAGAAGCACCGGCUAACUCCGUG
This 490-nucleotide ribosomal RNA is filed under the name uncultured bacterium. RNAcentral's name for it is "partial 16S ribosomal RNA". It matches the Rfam family "Bacterial small subunit ribosomal RNA", at positions 30 to 507 of the family's 1533-position model. The record is from RNAcentral.